AGGAGACAAUAUAGGGGUAGGAAGCACAGCCGGGGUAACAGGACAAGGCGACACAAGCGAUGCAAUACCACCGGACUUCUUAGCACGAAUAAUAAAGGAAGUCGUAUUCCUGGGCGCAUAAGGCGCAAAUCUAGGAUUAAACUUCUUCUUAGGAUAAAACUUACGUGCUUUCAAACGAUUCUGAGAUUGCAACUCAUGAAGAGUUGGUGGUUGGUAACCGACACUGCUGUUCGGAAUACCGAUGGAAAUGCUUUGGUUAGGUUUUUCCAUUCUCCUAAUAUCUUUGCGCUUAUCACUAACCUUCUUUCCCUUCCAGUUAUUAUUACUUCGUCCAGGUUUCGAAGGAGGGAAAUUAGGUUUCAUAUUAGGGUUCUGAAACUUCAUGUUAGGGUCCAGAGGAAGCUGUUGAGACCAAACCUUAUUAUAACCACGAUUCAUCAUCUGAGGCUGAUUCUGAUUCAUCAUAAUCUGAGAUGUCUUCAUCUGCGGUUGAGGUUGUUGAUUCAUUCCUUGAUUGUGUGUGUGAGAAAGUAACUGAGUCUGAGACUGGUUAAUUACCUGAGGCUGAUUCAUCAUCGGAACUUGAUUCAUCAUCUGAGGCUGGUUCAUCUGGUUCAAAUUCAUCAUCAUCUUCGAUUGAUCGUUCAUCGUAACCAAACCCUAAGUGCGUCUAACGAAUUCUUGCAAUUUCGAUUAAUAGUUAAGAGCGAAAAUAUUAUCACCGAUCAGAAAAUUCUUGAUCGGCGGCGAAUUGGAGAUCGAUUCGAAACCCUAAAUCUCUUUUUCUCUAAUUUAGAACUGUGAGAUAUUGGGAUUAAAUUUUCAAGAAAUUAACCUAUCUAAGGGUGAAACCGUUUUCGCAUAUGUAGAUUUCACAAACCUAUAGAUUGAGAAAACCCUGGUUUUGAUUAUUAAAUUUUUUUUCUGAUUUACUAUUCUCGAAAAAUGUGGUUAUCGUUGUUUCUUGAAGUGAUCGUGCGAACAGAAGGGGGUUAUAUAAUGGGUUGGGAAUAAAGUGGGCGGCUAGAUUUUGAUCCGACAAACGGACGGUUUGGAUUUCAUAUGCGUGAUGAACACGCGUCAAUAGCGCCUAAAAGAUCGAUUCUUGAUUUCUCCUUUAUUUUAUUUUUAAUUUUUAAUUUAAUAGUAAUAUUUUUCUUUAAUUAAUUUAAUAAUAUUAAUUUUUUAUUUGAGUGUACGUGUAACGUCAUUGAUAACAUAAGUUACUACAUAUGAUUUAAUUGAUAUGGAAUAAUAAAAUUAUAAACAAAAUAGUUUAAACGGGAACAGAAAGUAUAGAUAUUUUAUAAUAAAAAAUCAAUUACUUAAAUGAAUAAAGAAAGAUAAAUUGUAAAAUUAAAAGGAAAAAUUCACACCAAAUUUUCAUAUUUAAUUUAUACAUAGUAUAAAAGUAUAGAGUUUUACAUAGUGACAUGGAUUAAUGAUAUAAGGAGCUCAGUUUGAUUUUAAUUUCUUUUUUAUAUCAAAAACAAUUUAAUAGGUAUUGAGGAUGACAUAAUGGGUUCAAAUGUGAUAAACUCAAAUUUAAAUUUUUGUUAAAAAAUAUAUUUAUAUUUAAUGCGUCUUGAAUUAUUAUCUCUAAUAUAAAAUACCUCUAAGAAAUCAUAAAAAGAAUAAAGAACUCUUCAUGUUCAAUUAAAAUAAAAAAACUUAAUUGUUAUAGUUUGUCUUCAAUGAUAUAAAUAUUUUAGGUUCAUUAUGUGUUUUCAUAUCCUGUCGGAUGUAGAGCUUCUUUGAAACGGGUCAUGACCACCACAAACUUUCCAAAAAUUCUCAAUAAUUCUUUUAAGACAUGAUUGUUCAUGAGGUCAUUUAAAUUAAUUUUGGAGUCAUUUAUCUUCUUUUUUUCGAUUUGGUCUUUUAUUUAAUUUUAUUACAAAAAUUUAAAAAUAUAAAUAAUAAAAAUAUGAGUUUAUUUAAAGAUUUUAAUUAUAAAUAUGAUAAAAUUUACAUUCUAAUGAAGAUGAUAAUUAAUUUUAUUUAAAGAUUUACAUUCUAAUAAAAAUAUGAUAAAAUUCUAAUGAAGAUGAUAAAAUUCUAAUGAAGAUGAUAAAGAUUUACAUUCUAAUGAAGAUGAUAAAAAUAUGAUAAAAUUUACAUUCUAAUAAAAAUAUGAGUUUAUUUAAAGAUUUUAAUUAUUAAAUAUUUUAGUUUUUUUCUUUUAAUAUUUUACUGACAUGAAAAGUUUAUCGAGAUAGUUUUGAUGUUCAAGUUCUUAAAAUAAUCUUGCAACUCAUAUACCUAUUAGGAUUGGGGUUCCAUUUCAUUAAAUUACUUGAAAAUAUAAGGAAACGUUUGAUUUAGUCUUUCAAUUAUACAAAUGUGGCCAUAUAUAUGCAUUCCCCCAUAACAGAUCAAAAUAUAAUAAUCGAAAAAAUGAUAUCUUGUCAAAUUUCUCUUAUUGGAGAUUUUAAUUAAUUGAAUUAUCCAUUUCAACACUAUCACUAUUACACAUUUCCUAUUUAAAUAAUUUUAAAAGUGGUUUAAUUAUAUUCCAUUUGAUUAUUUAAAAUGAUAUCUCAUCGCAUAUCUUAUUUAUCUAUUUUAAUUUACAAGGAUUAUAUAUGUUUUUAGUCCUAAAAUAACUAUGAUCUUUUAAGUUUAGUUAUUUACAAAAAUGUAUCCACUUUUAUUCCAUAUAUUAAUGAUUUUACAGAGACUUUUUUUAAGGACUAAAAGUAUUAACUUUUUUAAUUUUUUUUAAAUAGGAACUAAAAGUGAAUAAAAUAAUGUUUUUAAAGAGUAAAAAUUUAAAUUUUUUAUAAAAAAAUAAAAAAACAAAUAAAUAGUCGUUUUUUGGAAACAGCUACAAUAAAAGGAAGCGUUUAAAAUAAAAUAAAAAUGACUUUAUUUUUAGAAUAAAAUGUUUUUUUUUCUUCUUGUAGAGAGUGCUUAAUAAAAACAUCUAGCAACCAGGAUUUUGACCAAUGAUAGUAUGUCGUAUUCAAAAAAUUGAAAAUAAACAAUAGACGCUAAAGAAGGAGUCUGUCUCCAAUGCACAAUCCAUCUGUCAAUCAAUCCGUGCCACAUUCUCAAACAACGGGCUCUCAAAAGAAACGCCACAGAUAUGAAUGAAAGCAUGAAAUUUAAAAUACAUAAUUCAAAUUAACUGAUGUUUACUGUGUAACAUGUCGACACAGAAGUAAAGUAGGAGAAGCUUGAGCUUUGCAAGGAUCUCCCGGACGCAUGAUAUGAUGACGUGAAGUUAGAUUGAACUCAUAACAGAAUAAAAUCAAUGGAAGCCUAGAGAUCUCCUACAAACUGCAAUCUGCAGACGCAAUGAACGGAAGUGUGAGCCUACAGCAGCUAUUAUACAUUCCACGAUCAGUUCAUAAAUCGACUGGGGAACAUGUUAACCACAUAUUAUACAACAUUAUACAAUGGCGCAUUUUUCACCCUAACUUAUAGUAUUACCUAGAAGUGGCUCAGAUAGUAUCUGCAAAAACAGGAAACCAUGGUGGUGCAUAUAAGCUUAGAGUAGAUAAAACAGAGUAACCAAGUGUAACACACUUCAGAAAAAGGAUCACCCACUUGCGCAUGACCAAAGUUUUAGAUUCAAAAAAAUGAUCAAAAGAUCUUCCAUUCAAUCUAUUCAAAAGAUAAUUGACACAUGGCUUCUCUUCAAGUACACAACACUGUGAAAUGUAAAGCAUUUGGAAUCCGAUGAGAAUAAAAAAAUACUAUUUGAGGCAUUACCAUCAUAGUCACUUCCAUUUUCUCCUCUGAAGUAGUUUCCCGGCCUCCAUUUCCAUGCAAACGCUUGUAAUUUCAAACCCCUACAUCAUCCACCUUAACUCACGGUAUUGCCGCAUCUAAUUGUGAAAUUGAAUACCCCUUUGAAUGAUCUGGUAGAAACACUGCUUUAAAUCAAACUUGGGAGUUCAAAGCUACCAAACAUUAAGAGCAAUAGCCAUGUUUCACAUCAAAUUCAAUAUGCAAGCUCUCAUAUUUGUACCAUGGUUAUGCUAAGACUUUCACUGUUUUUCACUCACAAGAGCAAAACAUGGCAUAACCAGAUACCGCUUAAAAGUUCAUGUUAAAAGUAGCAUAACCUUUGCACAAUUCAAUCAUGUCCAUCAAAGAGAACAAACACAAUCUUUGCACAGUUCAAUCAUAUCCAUCAUAUAGAACUAGCACAAGCUUUGCACAAUCAAAUCGACAUAAAACAUGUACCUCAAAUUUGCAUGGUAAUCAUUAGUUCUCCUUACAAACUCACAGGUUCUUUACAUGCUACUGAGUAUAAUAUUUUAAAAUACACUUUAAUCCCUUGUACAUAAACGAAAAAACAUGGCAGAACCAGAUAUCAUUUAAAAAUUCAUGCUAAAAAAGGUGAGGUGUAAAUUUGUAAAUCUGAACUUCUUACAAAUACUACAUAUUUAAAUGACUAGAAAAAAGGUAUAAUUAAUCUACUAUGAAAGCUUUCCUCACUUGAAAGGACUUCGUGCAGCAGUCUGACAAAAUUCACCACGGGCUAGAAAAUACUUCUGCCAUCAUCAUACAGAAUUAGCUCAACCUUCGCACAAUUUAAUCACCCAAUCAAAUCAAAAUAAAACAAGUAUCUCAUAUUUUUAUGGUCAUUCAAAUCAAAAACAAGUAUCUCAUAUUUGUAUGGUCAUUCGUGAAUAUCUAAGAUACUUUUUUAAGAAGCAACAAGAAAAAUUCAUCACGAGGGAGUAUAGUGAACCCUGCCCAAGCAAAAUAUAAGGCAACGACAAAUGAAAAAGAAAAAACCAAUUUCAUGAAAUUAACUAAAAGUAGAAAAAGUACAUGGUAAUCAUUAGUUCUCCUUACAAAUUCACAGGUUCUUUACAUGCUACUGUGUAGAAUAUUUUGACAUACACUUUAAUCCCUUGUACAUAAACGAACCUGCAAACUUACGGCCCUUUUCCUACUAUUUUUCUACAGACCUACCCAACCAAACCCUGCCCCGCCCCUGAAGGAAAAGAAAAGAAAGACAAAGGAAGGAAACUCAGCUCUUGGCCCUUAUGGUCCUCUCUCAAAAACCAAGAGAUGCGACUGAGAAAGCAACCCUUACCUAAUCUUUCAUUUUACCAACCAUACAAAUAGAAAAAAGAGACAAAAUAAAAGUAAACUAGUAAUCUACGAGGCUGCAAAUACCAUAUCCAUUACAAAGUAGUAGAAUUUGCUCACUAGCCUUCCCCUCAAAGCCUACUCGAGGAAUGGCUUCAGCUAAUGUGGGACAGACAAAUCAUCAUCUCCAACAGUCUCUGAGCUUGUUCCAACUAUCUGACUCUGACAUUCAUCCUUCUCAAUCAAUAAGCCAUCUGUACUUUCAUGUGUUGCUACAUGGGUUUUUGAUUCAUCAUUUCUAUCAAUCAUUUCAUUCUCACCACUUUCUUUUGUAUCCACGGCAUCAUUUUCUUUGGCAAAAACCUCGUCUGGCAAACACAGUUGUGUUGCUAAUUCACCCUUCUGCUCAUUGUUCUCUUCCUUCACUUCAUUGUUAAACACAAAGCCACCCCCCAUUUCAUUACCUUUGAUCUCAUCCUGAUUCACAACCACCACAUUCGGAACAGACUCUUCCAUAAAAGCAUCAUCUUCAGCUUCGGAUACUCCAUCAUUGUCUAACUUAGCAGUAGCACUGGCAUCAAUGUCUCCAUUUCUCUCACUUUCCAGCAUGGAAUCAACUAUCUCAACAUUAUUCUCAAUUCCCAUAACAGGUAAAUCUGAUCCCCCAUCGCUUUCAUUAUCAGACCCAUUCUCCACCACUUCCUCAUUGACGUCUUCCACAACCUGGUUCUGCCUCUCAAGAAACAGUAACCUCCUCCGUAGAUCACCCAACUCCCUCUCCAUUAGGAAAAGGCGCUCCCUCAAUGUCAAAUUCUCUUCCUCCAAUUGUGCUAUAUGGGAAUCCUGAUCAUCUACCCUAUUCUCCAACACAUUGUUAUACUCACCACCUCCAUAAUUCGGAUAUAUCAUCUCAAACCGGCUCAAAUCAUGGUCGAGCCUCCUUUCUACCUCCACAUGUUCCUCUACAUCACUCUCACUAGACCCACCACCACCAUCCUCUUCAUCUUCAUCAUCAUGAACAUCUCGAAGCCUAAUCAAACCCUUCAUUGACCCAUAUCCAUCAACACCCCACUCUUCCUUCGCCAUAUCCCCCAACAUCUCCCUCGAAGGAGACAAUAUAGGGGUAGGAAGCACAGCCGGGGUAACAGGACAAGGCGACACAAGCGAUGCAAUACCACCGGACUUCUUAGCACGAAUAAUAAAGGAAGUCGUAUUCCUGGGCGCAUAAGGCGCAAAUCUAGGAUUAAACUUCUUCUUAGGAUAAAACUUACGUGCUUUCAAACGAUUCUGAGAUUGCAACUCAUGAAGAGUUGGUGGUUGGUAACCGACACUGCUGUUCGGAAUACCGAUGGAAAUGCUUUGGUUAGGUUUUUCCAUUCUCCUAAUAUCUUUGCGCUUAUCACUAACCUUCUUUCCCUUCCAGUUAUUAUUACUUCGUCCAGGUUUCGAAGGAGGGAAAUUAGGUUUCAUAUUAGGGUUCUGAAACUUCAUGUUAGGGUCCAGAGGAAGCUGUUGAGACCAAACCUUAUUAUAACCACGAUUCAUCAUCUGAGGCUGAUUCUGAUUCAUCAUAAUCUGAGAUGUCUUCAUCUGCGGUUGAGGUUGUUGAUUCAUUCCUUGAUUGUGUGUGUGAGAAAGUAACUGAGUCUGAGACUGGUUAAUUACCUGAGGCUGAUUCAUCAUCGGAACUUGAUUCAUCAUCUGAGGCUGGUUCAUCUGGUUCAAAUUCAUCAUCAUCUUCGAUUGAUCGUUCAUCGUAACCAAACCCUAAGUGCGUCUAACGAAUUCUUGCAAUUUCGAUUAAUAGUUAAGAGCGAAAAUAUUAUCACCGAUCAGAAAAUUCUUGAUCGGCGGCGAAUUGGAGAUCGAUUCG
Molecule: long non-coding RNA, 6925 nt
Filed under: Cicer arietinum (chickpea)
Lineage: Eukaryota; Viridiplantae; Streptophyta; Magnoliopsida; Fabales; Fabaceae
Description: long non-coding RNA (CARI_LNC001096)
Source: RNAcentral